Long non-coding RNA from Brienomyrus brachyistius, 4291 nucleotides. RefSeq lists it as uncharacterized. The record is from RefSeq and is a predicted model, not a curated record. The transcript has 2 exons. Lineage: Eukaryota; Metazoa; Chordata; Actinopteri; Osteoglossiformes; Mormyridae.
UUUCACUACUGUCUACUGUUGAAUCUAAAAUGCUGUGGCAAAGGCUGUUACUAGUAUGAAAAUAUGCUAAUAUUAAUCCUGUACUGUAGAGUGGCCAGUUGUUUUUGAUGGGUCGCUGUCUGCACCAUUAGGUUUUUGUAUAGGUUUCUGCCACCAAUCUCACUGCCUUCACUGCAGCUAGGUUGACAUGCCGGUAUUUGGAGACCUGAACCUCAACCUCCUUUGUCAAUGCUGGUCUUCUCUGCAGCAUCAGAGCCUCUCAGGAAACCAUUUGGAACAGAACUGCAUUUGGAUCUUUGGACUGAUUCAUUAUACUGCAUACAGUAGCUCUAUAUUCCGGUAUAGUACAUGUGUGGGCAUCAAUGAAUAAUAGAAGUAUAUUGUGGGAAAACAGUAAUGGAUGAAAAUUACUGUUAUUCAUUGACUGCAGUGUAAUUGUUUUUUUUGAUUUCACUGGAAACAUUUUCUUCACUCUUUGUACUUUUACAUUUUUUGGUCAUGCAAUCUAAUGUAAUAAGUUAUUAAAGAUGGCAUAACUGUGUGGUCAGAAAGAGGGGGAAUUUACAUUGCAUUCUGCUAAAAUUCCACAGAGACCACAAGCUUACAACAAUAGCUUACAUCAGCUUGCAAAACUAUAACAGCAGAAGACAGCCCAUAGAUACAUUUACACAGAUUAAAAGCAAAGAAAACUCUCCCAGCUGCUCCCCCAGUCCCUCAGAUUCCUGAAUGCAGAUUAACCGUAAUGAGCUGCUUUUCCAUUAGUCCCAUGACUGGUUACCGGCAGAUAAAUGCCCUUUGGAACAGAUGCUGAGAUUUAUAUUCGCCUUCAUUCAAAUAAGAGCUUGUGGUGCCCCAGUGGAAUACACAGGGGGCUCAUGCAAGCUGCUGCAAGCUUCAGCUGCUGUUAUUAUUAGGAACAGGUGACCAGUGCAAUGAGGAACCGUUUAACUGAAUGGCAGGUUUCUGCCUGCCAGUGAAGCUCUGAAUGACUAGCAGAGAAGCCAGGGAUCAAGCAGCUGAAUUUCCCUCCCGAAGAUGGCAUGGGUUCCCCCUGGGCGCUUCCAGAUCUCUGGUCACCUCACUAGUUCUCUUUUGCAAAUGUAUGUUGUUGUUUUUUUUAUUUAUUUAUUGCCCAUAUUAUGUGAUUGUGUAUAUGCUGCGAUGCAUUGCCCUCCUGUCCGGAAUGUUGCCCUGCCUUUGUGCUUUGUAACACUGAUCAUCUGCUGUUCUUUUAAUAAUUCUGCACAAGCUUCUAGGAAUCAUUUUGGCAACAGCAAAAUGCCAGCAGUUUGUGAUGGAGUACAGAGAUGGAGGGGAGGGGGCUGUGAGCCUGUCCCCAUAGCGAUAGGUUUGCCCAGGAGAAUCCUGUCCAGUCAUUCAGAAACAAGCUGCAAUUCCAGGAGAAAUGAGAAAAACUAUAAUAACAAUGAUAAUAUAUCUCACUUCAUUCAGGAACCAUUUUCAGGAUCCAGGAACUCACUCAGAUACAAAAAGGAAAUGUAACCAUUAAAUGCUUAUUUGUUGCCAUGUGUAUUGCACACUGCACAAACUCCUCACAUACCAGUGGUAACAUUUUAUUUUAGUUACCACUCAUACAAAAUGCAUAAGGUAAUGGAGUCUCCAAAACAUUUGUCCAUACAGCCAUCCAUCCUCUAAGAGCAUAUCCAACAAACUAUCACAUGAGUGGAGGGUGGCCUGGAGCAUCUCCCAGGCAACGGGGGACACCAGAAAGCACAGUCCAUCACAGAGACUGGAGGCCUCCCAUUCCAGGCCAAACACUAAUACUAUGGUAAUACUGAGGCACCAACUCACUCACCUAAUUGCAAGCCUCUGGACUGUGGGAGGAGACCCACACAGUGUAGGAAAUCAAUGCAAACUCCAGACACAACCAGGACAGGAGUGUGACUGAAACCACACUCCAUGCCUUCCCAACCAAAUCACAUGCUUUAAUAAUUUAAUUAAUUGAUACUGUUGGGGUGCCCAGGGAUCUGGGGAUUAAGAGCCUUGCUCAAGGAGCCUGUUUAAUUAACUGGCUGUCAUUUGUAUUGACUGUCAUUUGCUUCAGCAACACCAAUAUGGAUGCAGUUAUUAACAGCGGUGGAUAGUUUAUGUCCAAAAAGUAAGAAUCCAGACCAAAAUUUUGUUUCAACCAACCAGUUGAGUAUUCUGUGACUUUAUAUACUGAACUGGUUGGUUGAAACAAAAUACUGGUCUGGGUUUUUACUUUCUGGACCUGUAGCCUGUACUACGAAGAAGGGUUAGUAGCUUAUCAGGGUAAAUUGUGGAUUUAAGAUAGUCUGGGAAAAACGUAAGUAAACGAAUAUGAAGUCCAUUUAAAUACGUACCUUAAAUCCGACAAGUUACCCAAAUAAGUCAAUAACCCCGCUUCGUAGUACAGGCUACUGAACUACCCACUUUUGGUUAUUAACAGUAAUCCAGCUCCUCUCCUUAUCUAGUGCCAGUUCUUGGUAAAUCUGAAAGCUACCCCAGAAAGCACAGGGCAGAGAGCAGAGCACAUUCACACACUCAGUCACACACUAUGGGCACUGAAGUAGCACUUCACAUAAUCCCACACGUUUGUAUUGUGGUAGAAACUGGAGUUUCCAGAAAAAACGCAUCAUGCACAUGAAGAGAUGUACAGUAGUGGACAGACCACAAUCCCUGGUCUUGUCAUGGGAUCAGCAUUAUGUUUGGCACUAGGACUAACCUUUGUUAGUAGUUCAAAGACAAAUACAAGUUAGUCAGCUGACUUAGGAAUGUCAGGGAAUCCCUCUGAACCAGCUGUAGUCUGUAGCUUGGUAAUGGAGGUCUGCUCUGGCCUGAUUGGCCUGUUGCCACCGUUACCCACAACAGGAAAAGUAGUAUCACAAGAUAGAGAUGAAAUUCCCCUUAUUAGGAAUGACUUACCUUUCCUUUCCCAACGCCUCCCCCCCCCCCCCCCCCAACAAAAAAAAAUGCUAAUAAUAGAAUAUUAAUAACACUAGACCAUUAAAAAAAUGAAAGGAAAAGUAUUCUACAUUUUCACAUUUGCAUGUUAUAAAGGCUGAUUGCCCAGCUUGGUCUGUAAGUUUUGGCAAUGAAGAGAGUAAAAACUGUGACUUUAUGAGCUCCUGGAUGGCCUUCGUAAUGGAGCCUUCAGAACGUUUGAAGUUUGUUAGUUAAACAGUGUUUCCUUUUCUGUUAACAAUAAUUCAUUUAAAAUUAGCUCUGCUUCUACUGGGAGAAAAAUAAUGAGGAUAUAUUCAGCAAUCAUUUCCCUGAUAAACUUAGCUCGAAUUAACCAGUUUUGCAAGUUUCGAGAUUAGAGAAAAAUGUUUAAAUGUCAUUUAUGAGAGACAUCUCCCCACUGAUUAGGCUAGAUAAUGUAAUAAGAUGUUUGACAUCGGAAUCAUCUUCAAUGUUCACAUGUCGUUUAAAAGUAAAAUUCCACACGUCAUCCCUAAAACAAUACAUUGUCACAAUACUCAUAUGUCUAUGACACAUAAACUAAACAUUAUAUUUGUUUUGUUCCGUCCACUUUUGUUUAUUAAAGCAAAUUACAGAAUAGUGAUUGCUUCAGCUUUAAGACUCAUAAUGGAAGAAAUUGCAAAACUGAUAGUAGAUAGUAGGUAAACCUUUGCAAAUAGCUGAAGGAGCUACUGAGAAGGAGCUAAGUAAUGAAUAACACAAGUGAAACACUGAUCUCAUGUUUGUUUAUCAUUAAUGAAUUAUGACGCAUCUUUUAUCACAAGUAGCUACUAUAUUUCUUCAAGAUUUGUACUUCAGUAUUAAACGAGUACUAUUUGUGCCCCCUCAAGUAAAGUGUUACUGUAUCAUGUCUAGGGUGGCAGUCCACUGCUAGCAAUUUGCGUCAGCAAUAUAUAAAAUGCACAUAAACACAAACUCUUCACUGAUGAAACUACCGACAGAAUCUAACCCACAACCCUUUGGCUAUAGCAUAAUUACACAAUGCACCACACCACCAUCACAUGGGCAUGAAUGUUCCCAUCACCAGAUUCAAUGCUGCUCACAUCAAUGUAAUGAGAAAAAAACUAGGUGGAUCAUCGAAUGUUAUAUUUGUAAAUAUCCUGUCAUAAACCACAAGUAUUUUGUUAAUUACCCAGAACUGGAAAAAGUGCAGGUGUGACAGCGAAUAUAUCAAAUAUCUGCUAAAGAUGAAUUACUGUAGUUUGUCUCUUAGGCUGAAACGUUAUGGAUGUGCAUGUAUUUAUUUUAUAUAAGUAAUCCAUUUUGUUUAUGUGAUUCUUGGCAAAUCUCCUGUAACACUAGAUAAAUGGCAACACAUAUAUUU